RNAcentral lists this ribosomal RNA (434 nucleotides) under uncultured Clostridium sp. RNAcentral's name for it is "partial 16S ribosomal RNA". It matches the Rfam family "Bacterial small subunit ribosomal RNA", at positions 341 to 792 of the family's 1533-position model. Lineage: Bacteria; Bacillati; Bacillota; Clostridia; Eubacteriales; Clostridiaceae. RNAcentral also lists the same sequence under 1 other name. The record is from RNAcentral.
ACGGGAGGCAGCAGUGGGGAAUAUUGCACAAUGGGGGAAACCCUGAUGCAGCGACGCCGCGUGAAGGAAGAAGUAUUUCGGUAUGUAAACUUCUAUCAGCAGGGAAGAUAAUGACGGUACCUGACUAAGAAGCCCCGGCUAACUACGUGCCAGCAGCCGCGGUAAUACGUAGGGGGCAAGCGUUAUCCGGAUUUACUGGGUGUAAAGGGAGCGUAGACGGUACGGCAAGUCUGAUGUGAAAACCCGGGGCUCAACCUCGGGACUGCAUUGGAAACUGUCGAACUAGAGUGUCGGAGAGGUAAGUGGAAUUCCUAGUGUAGCGGUGGAAUGCGUAGAUAUUAGGAGGAACACCAGUGGCGAAGGCGACUUACUGGACGAUUACUGACGUUGAGGCUCGAAAGCGUGGGGAGCAAACAGGAUUAGAUACCCUGGUA